Molecule: non-coding RNA, 1559 nt
Organism: Triticum urartu
Lineage: Eukaryota; Viridiplantae; Streptophyta; Magnoliopsida; Poales; Poaceae
Source: RefSeq, a predicted model, not a curated record
AGUUUAUGGUAUUUGGCCCGUGCUCCUCUUUUAGGUGCCCAGAGCACACCCGAGCUGGGGCUCUCCUCGAUCCGUCCGGGUACGGCGCCGGUGGCGGCGACCGGUCCUCUUCUCCGGCCAUCUGCCGCUCUCCUUCCCUUCCCCAUCCGCCCCUAAAAUUCUCUGGCAUCAACCCAGCCUCCUCAAUCUCUAGCCCAUAUCCAUGGAGUUCCAGACUUGGAUUUCAAAGGGAUUCGGCGCCUCGGGAGGAUGAACGCCAUGGCGGCUACACACACGCGGCGGCAGUGGAUUGAAGGAUGCGGCAGCAAAUCGGCGUGGCGACUCUAUCCGACCGAGUGUGGCGUAUGUGGUGCCUGUGUUGUGCUCCCGGCGGCCUAGCGUGUGUGCGUGCGGCUGGAUAUGCGUCUGUGUUCAUGUGUGUGGCGCUCUACAGGCAGAGGAAGUGGGUGGUUGCAGGCAGAGGAAGCUGCUAGCUAUUGGCAGAGGAGUAUUAAGAUUAGUAUGGCACGAUUAGGAUACUUCCCUUGAUUUCUAUAAGAAAAAUUGAUAGUUUCCUUGAUUUGUUUUGUUCUAGAUUAGUAGUAAAGCAGUGCACUGAUAUUUGUUUUGUGGCGCAGGAGCUUGAAGAUAUUAGGGGCAGCAGGCUUUACUGCAAUAUAUUCGUGUAUGAUUUUCUCCCCAAAUCUGAAAUUAUUCGCCACCUAAAGUUUAAUCCCCUUGAGAAAAUGAGAGUAUUUAUGUACCAUGCUCUAUGGAUGUUGACAAUUUUGAUUGCAGGGGCUGGCAAAGUAAGUGCAGUGCUUACCGUUGCAUAUAGAUAUUUAGGGCUACAUCAAACUUCAGUCAGUAGAACAUGAUUACCAGGCAGGGAGGUUCAUGCAGCAUUGGAAGUGAGGAUGUUUGGUGUAGAAUCGGUGCCGCCUCCACUCUACCCCGCCCCACUGCAUUGUCCUUGACGGCAAUACGGGCGACCUCGCUGCUUGCCUCGCGUGCAACCACUUCAUCCCCAACCUGUCGGAAGAGAACAUUGCAGACUGGGCGGAGAAACAAUGAGGUGUAGCAGCACAACCUUGCCUCUUUCCCUUACUCUCAUUUACAAGCGAGCCAAAGACACCCCAAGUGGUGGCACGAUGGCCCAUCGUGUAUGAAUGUGCUUCCAGACAAGCUUGCGGCGGCUCAGACCAGACUUGCUUGGCAUACAUGGCUGCAAUGCAUACAUGUGGCGGGAAACAGGCAGGGAGGCUUGGGACUGGAUAUGCAAUUAUGCCUUUGAAAAACGUGCAUCUCCGCAUCAGAAUUCUUUUGUGGUACGUUCUUCGUAAAGAUAUGCCUCAUGUGAAGUAUACCAUAUGCAGUUGAGGCUAUCGUGCUGAAGGGUAGGAAGAUGGAGGAGCGGAUUCUUUUAGCAAGCUGGUAACCUGUUGGUUUGUGAGUAAUCUUCUGUAUAUAUUAUUUAUAGGACUGUUGUUGUGGUGCUGACGACGACAACGAAGUGUGCACAUGUUUGGUAUGGAGAGAAAUUCAGAAGGACAGGGAGAACUCAUCUCUUCAGAACUAAA